Molecule: long non-coding RNA, 412 nt
Filed under: Carica papaya (papaya)
Lineage: Eukaryota; Viridiplantae; Streptophyta; Magnoliopsida; Brassicales; Caricaceae
Description: long non-coding RNA (CPAP_LNC015272)
Source: RNAcentral
UCUCUUGUAGUAGGAUUAGGCUUUCCCAUAUUUUUAAUUUAUUGUUGAAGUGUUCGUGUUGAAGAUGCUCCAAAAGGCUUCCAUAACUAAAUGGAACUCAAACUCCCUUUCUUAGUAGGAUUCCAAAGAGGAAUCGGUUUAGGCUUGGGAUUUCUUCUCUCUUGAUAUUUCCUUUGCCUUCUAGGAAUCGCCUUCAAUAAACUAUAAUUUACGAAGAACAAAAUUUGAAGUAGGAAUCCUCAAAAGUAUCUCUCGAUUUUCCUCCUCUCUUUGCUGCAAAUCCUACCUCAAGUAGGACUUAAAUUCCAAUGCCAACAAGGUCUCUUCUUCCUCCAAGCUUGUGGGUUGAAGCCAAUUUCUCAAGGGAGAAGGUUUCCCUUGUGGGAAGGACUGCUUCCCUCUCUCAAUUCUC